AACGAACGCUGGCGGCGUGGAUAAGACAUGCAAGUCGAACGGGAUUUUUUUCUGUAGCAAUACAGGAAAAAGUCUAGUGGCGAACGGGUGCGUAACACGUGAGCAACCUGCCGUGAAGUGGGGGAUAGCUCGCCGAAAGGCGAUUUAAUACCGCAUGUGGCCAAGGAAGACAUCUUCCUGACGCCAAAGCCGGGGCCACCUGGCCCUUCUCGAGGGGCUCGCGGCCUAUCAGCUUGUUGGUGAGGUAACGGCUCACCAAGGCUAUGACGGGUAGCUGGUCUGAGAGGACGACUAGCCACACUGGAACUGAGACACGGUCCAGACACCUACGGGUGGCAGCAGUCGAGAAUUUUUCACAAUGGGGGAAACCCUGAUGGAGCGACGCCGCGUGGAGGAUGAAGGUUUUCGGAUUGUAAACUCCUGUCAUUAGAGAACAAGGCACACGGUUUAACUGGCCGUGUGUUGAUAGUAUCUGAAGAGGAAGAGACGGCUAACUCUGUGCCAGCAGCCGCCGUAA
This 517-nucleotide ribosomal RNA is filed under the name uncultured bacterium. RNAcentral describes it as "partial 16S ribosomal RNA". It matches the Rfam family "Bacterial small subunit ribosomal RNA", at positions 29 to 523 of the family's 1533-position model. The record is from RNAcentral.